This 213-nucleotide ribosomal RNA is filed under the name Triticum aestivum (bread wheat). RNAcentral describes it as "partial small subunit ribosomal RNA". The record is from RNAcentral. Lineage: Eukaryota; Viridiplantae; Streptophyta; Magnoliopsida; Poales; Poaceae.
AUGGAGCUAUAUACAUCUUUACAUGAUAAGCUGACACCUAAUAAGGAUCAGGAGAACAACAGAGAUGCUAAGAGGCAACCUUUUGGGGUUAAGGAUAUCAACAACAACAGGGCUUAUGAGGCCGAAGAGAGCUCGAGUGGCGUCUUUUGGCAAAUAAACAAAAGGCAUGUGUAUUGUUCAAGAAAUAGAGAAAUGUUAUUGUUCUUCUACUAA